GGAGGUAUAGUUCAAGUAGUAGAGUGCAUGCUUAGCAAGCACGAGGUCUUGGGUUCAAUCUCCAGUACCUCCU
Transfer RNA from Camelus ferus (Wild Bactrian camel), 73 nucleotides. It matches the Rfam family "tRNA". From Rfam's summary of the family: Transfer RNA (tRNA) molecules are approximately 80 nucleotides in length. Their secondary structure includes four short double-helical elements and three loops (D, anti-codon, and T loops). Further hydrogen bonds mediate the characteristic L-shaped molecular structure. tRNAs have two regions of fundamental functional importance: the anti-codon, which is responsible for specific mRNA codon recognition, and the 3' end, to which the tRNAs corresponding amino acid is attached (by aminoacyl-tRNA synthetases). tRNAs cope with the degeneracy of the genetic code in two manners: having more than one tRNA (with a specific anti-codon) for a particular amino acid; and 'wobble' base-pairing, i.e. permitting non-standard base-pairing at the 3rd anti-codon position. Lineage: Eukaryota; Metazoa; Chordata; Mammalia; Artiodactyla; Camelidae. The record is from Rfam.